AGUUAAAUUUUUCAUCCAAAUCUACUGUUAAAAACUGGCGUGACUGAUAGAAUAACUAGACAGUAACACAUGACAUGUUAACGUACAUGGAUCAACUUUUAACAGUAGAGAUGGAUGAAAUUUUUAAUU
This is a non-coding RNA of Gossypium hirsutum (cotton), 129 nucleotides long. The record is from Rfam. NCBI's taxonomy places the organism in Eukaryota, Viridiplantae, Streptophyta, Magnoliopsida, Malvales, Malvaceae.